GUCUCUGUGGCAAAUCGAUUAGCGCGUUCGGCUGUUACCUGAAAGGUUGGUGGUUCAAGCCCACCCAGGGACG
This 73-nucleotide transfer RNA is filed under the name Danionella translucida. It matches the Rfam family "tRNA". Rfam says of the family: Transfer RNA (tRNA) molecules are approximately 80 nucleotides in length. Their secondary structure includes four short double-helical elements and three loops (D, anti-codon, and T loops). Further hydrogen bonds mediate the characteristic L-shaped molecular structure. tRNAs have two regions of fundamental functional importance: the anti-codon, which is responsible for specific mRNA codon recognition, and the 3' end, to which the tRNAs corresponding amino acid is attached (by aminoacyl-tRNA synthetases). tRNAs cope with the degeneracy of the genetic code in two manners: having more than one tRNA (with a specific anti-codon) for a particular amino acid; and 'wobble' base-pairing, i.e. permitting non-standard base-pairing at the 3rd anti-codon position. The record is from Rfam by way of RNAcentral. Lineage: Eukaryota; Metazoa; Chordata; Actinopteri; Cypriniformes; Danionidae. RNAcentral also lists the same sequence under 1 other name.